GUCCAAAGAGGUGGCACGUGAGUCUCUUAUUGCUAUCUCUAACUCUCUGCCUGAAAAGACUCUGGAUUCAAACUCUGUGUCUGAGAGCAAGAAGUCAGAUGGGGUUGCAAUGCCAAGCCGUGAUAAAGAUGACAAAUUUAGUUAUGGAAUUUGUCAUCCUCCUUUUCAAGCAAAGAAGCUUUAAAAAAGUUUACAGUGUCACACCCAUAUGAAUGGUGAUUCUGCUGUAGAUUAUGUAAGAAAAAUAGAUGAAUGACAGCAUGAUUUUCAUAGGAAACGAACUGCUUCCUGUAACUCCAAUGCAGUCUUGUCUUAGCAUGUACUUCUAUUUUCUUGUUUCAGUUUAAAAGUGAAUCAUACAAAUAAUGCAAAUAAUUGAAUCUUUGUGAAAA
This is a non-coding RNA of Vigna umbellata (rice bean), 392 nucleotides long. The record is from RefSeq and is a predicted model, not a curated record. NCBI's taxonomy places the organism in Eukaryota, Viridiplantae, Streptophyta, Magnoliopsida, Fabales, Fabaceae.